GGGGGGGGGGGGGGGGGGGGGGGGGGGGGGGGGGGCGAGGGGAGGGGGGCGGCGUGGGUGGGGUGCGGGGGUGGCGGGGGGGUGAGAAGCAGGGGAGGAAGCUGGGCGGGACGUUGGGAGACCUGCGGGAGACUGGGGCGAGUACCGGCUAGGAGCUUGUGCUGGAUGGGGGGGGGUGGACAGUUUCGGCGGUUGGGGAUGGACUCGCGGCUUAGCAGAUUGUUGGUGGGGUAGUGGCUUACCAAGGCUUUGACGGGUAGCCGGCCUGAGAGGGUGACCGGCCACAUUGGGACUGAGAUACGGCCCAGACUCCUACGGGAGGCAGCAGUGGGGAAUAUUGCACAAUGGGCGGAAGCCUGAUGCAGCAACGCCGCGUGCGGGAUGACGGCCUUCGGGUUGUAAACCGCUUUCGCCUGUGACGAAGCGUGAGUGACGGUAAUGGGUAAAGAAGCACCGGCUAACUACGUG
Molecule: ribosomal RNA, 468 nt
Filed under: uncultured bacterium
Lineage: Bacteria
Description: partial 16S ribosomal RNA
Rfam family: Bacterial small subunit ribosomal RNA (bases 49-468)
Source: RNAcentral